Molecule: long non-coding RNA, 2837 nt
Organism: Lemur catta (Ring-tailed lemur)
Lineage: Eukaryota; Metazoa; Chordata; Mammalia; Primates; Lemuridae
Exons: 3
Source: RefSeq, a predicted model, not a curated record
CGCGGGGCGAGCCUAGCAGGGAAGGCAGCGGAGAAGGCGAAGGAGCUGAGAUCCACAAGGAAGAUUUAUUGGGCAGAUCAGAUGCACAGAGGCGGCUAAUGAAGCAAAUCCCGAGAUGGGUAUCAGAGCAACUCCCCAAAAGUUUAUUUGCCUUUAAAUUUCCGCAGGGAGGCGGGUGCCUUGUUUGAAGUGUAAAUGCCCCUAGGUUGGGGGGUGGAAAGGCCGCUUUGAAAACACCAGAGAGAAAAGGUUCAUUUAGAGGCAGACGGGAAAAGCAACCAACCCUGACAGUUCAGGCUCCCCAAGACAACCUCCUGGAUGAUCAACAUAGGGAGACCUGGGGCAAGGCUUACUUUUGUUCUGAGCAUCUCUCGUUAGUGCGUGUUCGUGGGGUUGCGAGGCCAAAGCAAACCCGGGAGCGCCAUCUGCAGGCCUCUAGAGGAAAAGACUGACCUUCGGGGCCGGACCCUGCGUUUCAACCUCUCGCCGGAGGGAACCUGCUCCGCCGCCCAAGGGAAGUGGGGUGAGGGCUGGGAGGGAGGUGUCCAGAGGGGACUGUUUUUUCCUCCCAAACUUUAUCCCCCGCAGGUGGAUUAAGCUGAUCGGGCUCAGGAAGAUCCAGGAGGGAGGGCAAAUGCCAGGAUCCCAGAGAACGCAGCCCAAGGAGUGGGAGGCUCAGAACCCUGUCUGCUGAGCCUGGUCCGAACCCCGCCCGAGGAUUAAGGUCGCCCAGAAAACCCGGGUACGAGACGCUCAGUAGUAGGCUGAGUUGAGCUGAGUCAGGCAGGUGCGUUAAUCUAUGUGCCGCCCAGGCUAGGGCCAGAAGGACAGGGGCGCAAGUCCGUGGCGCUUCUCUGGGGCACCUGGGGCUUCGGACAGAGGCCGGAAGAACCUCGCGUCCGGGCGGCAAGAGCGCAGCGCAGCUCGGGCUUCGCGGAGCCGCCCUUUUGCAGACCUAGGAAAGCGGGGGGGGGGAGGGAGCGAAGGAGGGAGAGAGAGUUAAAACAUCAGCUGAAGUGCCAAGAUGAUUUAUGAGACGAGGGAAAAUAUUUCAUAAAGAUCUCCCGGAUAUUCUGUACUUAACCAGUUAGGAGACAAAGGGCUUCUCCUGCCUGGUGCAUGCACGCAGACCCUAGUGAGCAAGGGAACGAGUGCCGGCGAGGACUGCGGAGGCUGGGCCAGCAGCUCCAGUAGAGUGGAGCCAGCCCGGCGCACUGCGCCUCCUGCGCUCGCUCCGGAUCUGCCGAGCUUAGCAGCGGGCGGCGCUCAGCCGCGUUCGCAGCCUCCUCUUCUCCCCAGCCGGGGAGAGCAAGCCUCGGUCUCCCGCGUCCUCUGCCGCCAGCAACGUGCCGCUGCUCACUGUCUUCUCUCCCCAGUCCCCAUCCCUGGCCACCUGAGAGUCCAGGAACCAAGUCCCAGGCUCUCCUGUCUUCCGUUGGGACCCACCGAGGCAGGUGGGUCCUCGCCAAGGUCUCCAGCUCCAUUCUAAACCAAGCGCACUGGACUGCCCAGAUCCGGUGGGCAAGGGAUCGAGGGAGGCCCUGCGCGCAGCCGCGCGUGGGACAAGAGAGGAAAAACUGUUGGGCACUUUUCCCCGGAAUGCGAAUUGGGGGUGCGUGGGUGGGGAGGUACCUCAAGAGGGAAAAGCGAAAGGGAAGAACCAAAGAGGAAGAGCCAGGAAGGACCCGAAGGGAACGCAGAGGUGAGGGUAGCAGGUUUAGGGCUAUGGAUUCGAACUGGGCCCGGGGCCGCGCGGUCCAUGCGGGCACUGGCCGGUGGAUGGCAGGGCUGGGCGAGUUGGGACUGAAAGCCUGGCUUUUCAGCACCGCGCGUUCCGCGGCCCUCUGUCGUUGCCUGAAUAUUCAUUAGACUGGCCGCUCUUUAUCCUUAUCUAACGUUUAUCUUAUCGGCGAGUUUCGUUUCUCAGUGUAGUUUUAAUCCCGGGCUCCCAUUCCUCCUCCCCCUAGCCCUCUCCCCUGCCUCCCUCCCUCCCUGCCUCCCUCUCUCUUCCUUCGCUCGCUCUUCCCUCCCAUUUCCCCCUCCCCUGCCCUCCCCCUUGCCGGCACCGGAGUGACAGGCGCGGGGCCCUCCUCGCCGAAGCUCGGGGCUCCGGCGCUGGCGAAUCACAGAGUGGUGGAAUCUAUUGCCUUUGUCUGACAAGUCAUCCAUCUCCCGGCGCGGGGAGGAGGAGGGGGUCUGGAGGGGGCUUUGCAGCUUUUAGAGAGACACACACCCGGAGCCGAGGCUCCAGUCUCCGGCCGAGUCUUCUCGCAGCCGCAACCCACCUGGGGCCAGCCCAGCGCUGCCGGCGCCGCUCGGCUCCCUCCCUCCCUCCCGGCCCUUCGGCCGCGGCGGCUUGCGCCAGCCUUUUCCGGGGGCGGGGGCCCGGCUCGCGCGCUCCCCUCCCGCUGGCGCCCGCUCGGACAUCCCGGGGAUUGCUACUUCUCUGCCAACUUCGCCAACUCGCCGGCACUUAGAACGGCCCCGCUCCCCUCCUGGCGCCCUCGGGCCGCCCCCGCCCCGCACCCUCUCCGACCAACGCCUCUCGGAUGACCGGGUUCCAGGGGAGCUGAGAGAGCCGCCUCCCCCGCCCGGCUUCAGCCUUGGCCGCGGCUGCACCGCGCGAGCCAUGCGCUCCCAGUGCCCCUCGGCCCGGCCCGCCGCCCCGGAGCCGCUCUGCUGACUGCCCAGCCCCGCGCCCCGACGGUGGGAAGUUGCGGACGCUGCGGUGGCCAGCCUCGGCCAGCUCCGAGGAGCCACCGAGAGCUCAGCGCUGCUCCCCGCUGCCCCCGCGCGCCCCGCAGCAGCCGGGCGCCCGCUCACCCUCCCUCCCCCAC